AUUGAACGCUGGCGGAAUGCUUUACACAUGCAAGUCGAGGGGUAACUAGAGUGAUAGCAAUUUUACUUUGGCUAGACCGGCGCACGGGUGCGUAACACGUAUGCAACCUACCUUAUACUGGGGAAUAACUUCGAGAAAUCGGCGCUAAUACCCCAUAACAUUGCGAAGAGGCAUCUCUUUGCAAUUAAAGCUCCGGCGGUAUAAGAUGGGCAUGCGUCCAAUUAGCUAGUUGGUGAGGUAACGGCUCACCAAGGCUACGAUUGGUAGGGGUUCGGAGAGGAUGAUCCCCCAAACUGGUACUGAGACACGGACCAGACUCCUACGGGAGGCAGCAGUGAGGAAUAUUGCGCAAUGGACGAAAGUCUGACGCAGCCAUGCCGCGUGCAGGAUGACGGCCCUAUGGGUUGUAAACUGCUUUUGUACGGGAAUAAACCCUUCUACGUGUAGGAGGCUGAAGGUACCGUAAGAAUAAGCACCGGCUAACUCCGUGCCAGCCGCCGCAGUAA
RNAcentral lists this ribosomal RNA (506 nucleotides) under uncultured bacterium. Its description in RNAcentral is "partial 16S ribosomal RNA". It matches the Rfam family "Bacterial small subunit ribosomal RNA", at positions 30 to 523 of the family's 1533-position model. The record is from RNAcentral.